CUACCUGCCGCCCGGGGUGCCCCGGCCCUGGAGCAGGCCCGCGUCGCACUUGGGACGUGUAGGGACGGCUGCCUUCAAGGGCCAGGUGCCCUCAGGCGCCACAGGCAGCAGUACCUGUCCAAAGAUCGCUUUAGUUCCACCUUGCUCCACAAGCAGCACAGCCACACUGGUUGGUGAGAAUGUAUCUGAAGAAGAGGCUCAGGGAAUAAAUGGGAACAGGCCAGCAAAACACUCAGCUGCAAGUCCAAAGCCACAAGCUCAUUAUCAAAUUAUAGUGAUUUGAAGAAAGAGUCUGCUGUGAACUUAAGUGCUCCUAGAACCCCAGGAAGGCAUGGAUUGACAACCACACCUCAACAAAAACUCCUCUCCCAGCACUUGCCACAGAGGCAGGGAAAUGAUACAGAUAAGACUCAGGGUGCACAGACUUGUGUGGCCAACGGUGUAAUGGCAGCACAAAACCAGAUGGAAUGUGAGGAGGAGAAAGCUGCCACUCUUAGCCCAGAUACUUCUAUUCAAGCUUCUGAACCCUUGCUUGAUAUGCACAUAGUG
RNAcentral lists this small RNA (549 nucleotides) under Pongo abelii (Sumatran orangutan). RNAcentral describes it as "processed transcript". The record is from RNAcentral. Lineage: Eukaryota; Metazoa; Chordata; Mammalia; Primates; Hominidae.